CUUGGGAUCUCCAGCUCUCACAUCAGGGCUCAAGACAAAACCUGUAGUCAAACAAAUUCUUGGCAUAGAGCAAUCAGGACCUUCUCACAUCUGUACAAGAUUUACUACAAACAAGCUGACUGUUCUUGCUCCUCUUUAAAAGAGUUGAAAAAUCCAAACCGUGUACUGUAUAUUCAAAAUAAACUGAAAGGAAAUAUGCAUUUCUUUAAAAGUUGACCCAAGUAUCUAUGAACAGAUGAAUGGAUAAAGAAAAUAUGGUAUAUAUACACAAAGGAAUAUUAUUCAGCCUUAAAAAAGAAAAAAUUCUGUCAUUUGCAACAACAUGGAUGAACCUGAAGGACAUUAUGUUGAGUGAAAUAACCUAGGCAUGUAAAGACAAAUAGUUUGCGAUCUCACUUAUUAUGUGGAAUUAAAAGAAAAUCAAACUCAGAAACAGAGAAAAAUGGUGAUUACCAGAGGCUAGGAUUUGGGGGAUUGGGGAGAUUUUAGUCAAAGGACACAAAAUUUCAGUUAGAGAGAAGGAAUAAGUUAAAGAGAUCUAUUGUAUAUCAUGGUGACUGUGGUUAAUAAUAAUACAUUGUACACUUGAAAAUUGCUAAAUUUUGUGUUUUGACCACAAAAGAUACAUCUGUAAGGUAAUGCAUAUUCAAACAGCUUGAUUUAGCCAUUCCACAAUGUAUACGUGCAUCAAAGCAUCAUAUUGUAUACCAUAAAUACAUGCAAUUGUGACUUGUCAAUGAAAAAAUAAAUUAAAAUGUGAAAAGUUAACUCACGA
This 775-nucleotide long non-coding RNA is filed under the name Homo sapiens (human). RNAcentral's name for it is "HSALNT0059505". Lineage: Eukaryota; Metazoa; Chordata; Mammalia; Primates; Hominidae. The record is from RNAcentral.